ACUUUCCAUACAUUGAUCAUGUGGUAGAGAAUUUGGAGAAGAGGUUUCCAGAUUUACCUCUGUGAGAAAGCUUUUCUGUAUUUGAUCCCAACAGUAUUCCUGAAGAUCCAGAAGAAGCUGAUGGUUAUGGCAGGGAGCAAAUAGAGAUCCUCUCAGACCACUUCAAAAUGGAUUUGGUGCCAUUAAACCAGGAGUGGAGGCUACUGAAGAAUACCAUUCAAACUGAUGACAGCCUCAAGUCACUAUCUGCUAGUAUGGUCAUGCAGCAAUUGGCUGGCAAGUUAGCAGCAGGUUUUCCUCUGUUGUCAAGUCUAUCAGCUGUUGGCUUAUUAUUACCUACAUCAACUGCAGAUUGUGAAAGGGGGUUUUCAACCCUAAAGAGGAUAAAGACAGAGUUGAGGAACAGACUGUCAAAUAAAAUAACAAACUGUCUAGUAACAAUAUCACUAGAAGGAGCAGAGAGCACAGAGAUAAAUAUUUCUGAAGUUGUUCAGUACUGGAAGGCCCAGAAGAACAGGAGGAUCUUUUCAUGAACUAUAUUUACAUUUUGACUUCUAAUUGACUGUAA
Mytilus californianus (California mussel) is the source of this 568-nucleotide long non-coding RNA. RefSeq lists it as uncharacterized. The record is from RefSeq and is a predicted model, not a curated record. Lineage: Eukaryota; Metazoa; Mollusca; Bivalvia; Mytilida; Mytilidae. The transcript has 3 exons.